RNAcentral lists this long non-coding RNA (825 nucleotides) under Spirodela polyrhiza (greater duckweed). RNAcentral's name for it is "long non-coding RNA (SPOL_LNC000240)". The record is from RNAcentral. Lineage: Eukaryota; Viridiplantae; Streptophyta; Magnoliopsida; Alismatales; Araceae.
CAGAAUCAGGGCAGUUUUCUAAGUUUUAAUUCUAUCCGGGCCCGUGUGGACAAUCCAUUGUCAGCUGCCAUAGAAAAAAAAGCUGUCAUCUUGAACGCUGAGUGAAGCAUCUCAUUUUGCCGGCACUUAUUAUGAUUAGUAAUUCUCUCAGUUUUCCCAAUUUAUUGCCUUUUUUCAAUGAGAUUAGUAGUUGGUCGUGUUAAUUUUUAGGUUCGAACCAUGAGGGAUCUGUACUACUUAGAUCUCUGUGAAGCCCGUUGGAAGAUCAUCCAAAAGUGCCAGCAGGUUUUGACCGAAUCACACUCCAAUCUCUUUCCAUCUUCCUGUUGACCUUGCGUCUGGCUCUCUUCCUCUCUCAGCACGAAUCUCCAGCGCCGCCAUGGUUGCCUUCUGGGCGACUGGAGUCAAUGAAGAAGAUGAUGCACCAAGAGGAUCGCCUCGUGGAGCUUCUCCGACUUCCCAGGAGCAGCAUCCGACCCCACCUCCAGGAAGAAUCCCCCCACUACGAGAAGCAGAUACUCCAUUUUAAUGAUUCAGAAGGAAGAACAAUCGCCGGAGGGGGAGUAAAUAGUUUACCCAACAUGAGCGUUGACUUUCGGCCUGGUAACGGUGCUCCAGUCAACCAACGUGGGACUUCCCGUUGAGGGCCGUUGAUUCCCAUGUGAGGCGGCAAGCUGACGAGGGACCACCACUUUGGGAGACGUUUUAAUCUAUUCUGAGUUGAAAAUCCUCGAUCGUCUUCUGUUUAAUGUAGUGGGAUUCGGAUGAGCUUAGCAUAUUUCGCAUGUGAUAAUUUGCUGAGCAUUUUAUAUGAUAUAUGAAGGG